Molecule: ribosomal RNA, 403 nt
Filed under: Rhadinaea vermiculaticeps
Lineage: Eukaryota; Metazoa; Chordata; Lepidosauria; Squamata; Dipsadidae
Description: partial 16S ribosomal RNA
Rfam family: Bacterial large subunit ribosomal RNA
Source: RNAcentral
CAAAGGUAGAGUAAUCAUUUGUCUAUUAAUUGUAGACCAGUAUGAAAGGCAAAAUGAGGGCCUCACUGUCUCUUAUAGUAAAUCAAUUAAACUGAUCUCCUAGUAAAAAAGCUAGAAUACACUCAUAAGACCAGAAGACCCUGUGAAGCUUAAACUAAACUAUUAAACCACAUAAUAACUACUUUUGGUUGGGGCGACCUUGGAAAACAAAAGAACUUCCAAAAUUAUUACCCCAUUGGGGGAAUAUGCCAGGCCAACAAGCCUAUUAAACGACCCAGCACAGCUGACAAUUGAACCAAGUUACUCCAGGGAUAACAGCGCCAUCUUCUUCAAGAGUCCAUAUUAAAAAGAAGGUUUACGACCUCGAUGUUGGAUCAGGACAUCCUAAUGGUGCAGCAGCUAU